This 433-nucleotide ribosomal RNA is filed under the name uncultured bacterium. RNAcentral describes it as "partial 16S ribosomal RNA". It matches the Rfam family "Bacterial small subunit ribosomal RNA", at positions 29 to 507 of the family's 1533-position model. The record is from RNAcentral.
AACGAACGCUGGCGGCAUGCCUAACACAUGCAAGUCGAACGAAGCCUUCGGGCUUAGUGGCGCACGGGUGCGUAACGCGUGGGAAUCUGCCCCUUGCUUCGGAAUAACAGUUAGAAAUGACUGCUAAUACCGGAUGAAGUCUUCGGACCAAAGAUUUAUCGGCAAGGGAUGAGCCCGCGUAGGAUUAGGUAGUUGGUGGGGUAAAGGCCUACCAAGCCGACGAUCCUUAGCUGGUCUGAGAGGAUGAUCAGCCACACUGGGACUGAGACACGGCCCAGACUCCUACGGGAGGCAGCAGUGGGGGAUAUUGGACAAUGGACGCAAGUCUGAUCCAGCAAUGCCGCGUGAGUGAUGAAGGCCUUAGGGUUGUAAAGCUCUUUUACCAGGGAUGAUAAUGACAGUACCUGGAGAAUAAGCUCCGGCUAACUCCGUG